This is a non-coding RNA of Bemisia tabaci, 426 nucleotides long. NCBI's taxonomy places the organism in Eukaryota, Metazoa, Arthropoda, Insecta, Hemiptera, Aleyrodidae. The record is from RefSeq and is a predicted model, not a curated record.
UUUGCACACCCCUCCCCCUUUCCGGUAAUGGCGUCAGCCUUCAACAGCACCUGUAUUUACAAAUUUAAGUCGUAACCACCAUAAUUUCUUCGUAACUAUCCUAUUCUUUGAGGUAUUCAACAAUGAACAUCCAAAAACAGUUUGACCUAAUCCGCGGUGUGGUUUACUGUAUUUUUGAGUCGGGAAUUGUGUUGCGCUGCGGAAUGGCUUUGAUGUGAUACCGGAAAAUGCAGCAUCAAAGUCGAGCUUUUUUCACAUGGCUGAAUUUCUCAGGAGGAUUUUCCGGUGGAACACGGAAUCGUUUACACUACCCGUUGAAGAAAAAGAAAUACUCGAUGUCAGGUAGGUACACAGAGGGCAAAGUAUGACAAUCCAAAAUCAGCACACUCAUUUUCUGAAUAAAUAUCUAUCUGCGGCCAUUUAAAA